AUCAGCUGCCCGGUCAGCAGCCCUGGCUAACUAAGACGCGUAGGUGGCAGAGACACUGACGCGGGAGGCCACAUGGAAGGGAGCCGCGCGAGUGAUCCGCGUGCAUAUGAUCGAACGACUGUGAUCCGUUCCCGCACGCAGGGACGGCCCAGAUUGAAUCGUAAUGAACGGUCCAGAUUCAUUUCCUAUUUAAUCGCAACUGGACGGUCCAGAUAAAAAACGCGCAGAGACGGCCCAGAUUGAAUCGCGAUGAACGGUCCAGAUUCAUUUCCUAUUUAAUCGCGACUGGAUGGUCCAGAUUAAAUGCGAUGAAUGGCUCAGAUCAAAAGUGGAUGGUUAUAAAUAAUCUCAUCUGCACCCAAACCCUAACCCUAGCCGCUAGAGCCCCUCACCGGAGAAGAUAGCUCAACCGUCGGGGAGCCGACCACCGCCACCCGCCACCGUACUGUAGCAAUUUUCAGCCGCCAAACA
This 471-nucleotide long non-coding RNA is filed under the name Carica papaya (papaya). Its description in RNAcentral is "long non-coding RNA (CPAP_LNC000493)". Lineage: Eukaryota; Viridiplantae; Streptophyta; Magnoliopsida; Brassicales; Caricaceae. The record is from RNAcentral.